Molecule: transfer RNA, 76 nt
Filed under: Pseudomonadota bacterium
Lineage: Bacteria; Pseudomonadati; Pseudomonadota
Also listed under: 1 other name
Description: Proteobacteria bacterium (groundwater metagenome) tRNA-Lys
Rfam family: tRNA
About the family: Transfer RNA (tRNA) molecules are approximately 80 nucleotides in length. Their secondary structure includes four short double-helical elements and three loops (D, anti-codon, and T loops).
Source: RNAcentral
ACCGGGGUAGCUCAGUUGGCAGAGCAAGGCACUUUUAAUGCCUGAGGCGCGGGUUCGAUUCCCGCCCCCGGUACCA